RNAcentral lists this ribosomal RNA (2794 nucleotides) under Hymeniacidon sinapium. RNAcentral's name for it is "16S ribosomal RNA". It matches the Rfam family "Bacterial large subunit ribosomal RNA". The record is from RNAcentral. Lineage: Eukaryota; Metazoa; Porifera; Demospongiae; Suberitida; Halichondriidae.
UAAAAAUUAGUAUAAAUAAAUAACAAAUGGAUGACUAGGAUGUUAUAAUGAGGACGUUAUUAAACACGAAAAGUCGGUGAAGAAAAAAUGAAGCCGAAGUUCCAUAAGAAAACGCUAUUAUAAAUUUAAAUCUCAGGAACUGAAACAUCUCAGUACUAGAGAGGAAAGAAAUCAAGCGAGAUUCCGUUAGUAGUGGCGAGCGAAAGCGGAGUAGAUCUAAUCCAAAGAAUUUUCCCUUUGGGGUAAAUCAUUUUUCAUAAUAAUCAAAAUCCACAGAGGUUAACAGCCCCGUAGAUUGUUAUAAUUUACAAGGAUUAUGGUGCAUAGUUAUAGGGGAAUAUUAUUUAUUCUGUAACUUGCAUUUAAAGAGUAGAAUUAUUUGAAGACAGGUGAUCCAUACAUCUAAAACUAAAUCUUAUAACAUACCUAUAGUGUACGAGUACUGUGAAGGAAAGUUGAAAGAGAAUAAAGCAAGCAUCCAUAAAUUGGAUUCUUAAAAUGAAAUAGAUUCUGAAAUUUGUUAUAUACAAGCAGACGAAAUUCGUCGUACCUUUUGCAUAAUGGGUUCGUGAGAAAAAUAUUUGGCAAACUUAAGUUUAUAGACGCAGGUGUAGUGAAAAUGAGUUUUAAAUUAAGAGCUUUAGUCAAAUAGAACCCGAAACCUAGUGAGCUAACCAUGGGCAGUUUGAAGCAUCCCUAAUAGGAAGUGGAGGAACGAACUGGUGAUUGUGGCAAAAAUCUCAGAUGAUCUGUGGUUAGAGGUAAAAUGCCAAUCGAACUAGGAAAUAGCUGGUUUUCUGCGAAAGCUAUUUAAGUAGUGCGUCAUUGAGGGAAUUUAAAUAAAUUCGUAAUAUAAACCUUUGGUUUGUAUUUAUUCUUACACAGUAAAGCACUGAAUGGAGACAUCUAUAGGGUGUAUUCAACCAAACUAUGAAAGUGUAAGAAGAAAGAUGAUAGACAGACAGUGGGCGAGAAGGUCCAUUGUCAAAAAGGAAACAACCUAGAUCAGAAGUUAAGGCCAUAAAAAAUUAACUAAGUGUAAAAGGAGCUGAUAGAUAGAGACAACAAGAAAGUGGGCUUGGAGCCAGCCAUCUUUGAAAGAUUACGUAACAGUUCACUUGAUAAAUUUAUCGGUUUCUAAAAUUUUGGUGGCUUAAGUUUAAAGCCGAGACUCUGGAUAUAAAAGAAUGUAAUAUAAUGGUAGCAGAACGUUCUGUAAUACAAUUGAUUGAUUAAAUUACGAAAGUUUAUCAGAAGUGAUAAUGCGAGCAUGAGUAAAAAACAGUGUGAGAAUCACUGUUCAUAGCCCUAGGUUUCCAAUAGUUGAGAUUAUCAAGAUUGGGUUAUACAGCCCCUAAGAGUGAGAAUUAAAAAGUUAAUUAUGCACAAUGGGGAAAGAUUAAUAAGUGAAAAAAUUAAUUUAAUAAGCUGUACUUAAACUAACACAAGUGGGCUUAAAGUGAUGGUAGAAUUUAUCUUAAGGAACUCGGCAAAAUGACCCUGUAAGAUUGCGAGAAGGGGUGCCAAUUUUUGAGGUGUUAUUCCCAUACGGGCUUAAAAAUUGGCUUCAGAAAAGAGGGGGUGUCGACUGUUUACCAAAAACAUAGCUUCCACCAAAAGCCUGUAAGGCUGAAGCAUUGGAGGUGAGGCCUGCCCAGUGGUUGUAUCUAAACCCAUGUGAUUAUGACCCGACCUUUGGUCGAAGAAGUAACAUGAUUAAGGACAAUUAAAUGGCCGCGGUAAAUCUGACCGUGAUAAUGUAGCGCAAUCAAUAGCCAAUUAAUUGUUGGCAAGUAUGAAUGGCGUAACGAAUGCCCCACUGUCUCAAGAUAAAAACCAAUGAAAUUGAAAUCGUAGUGAAGAUGCUACGUACAAAUUGUAAGACGAGAAGACCCCAUUGAGCUUUACUGGAAGCUUAUAUUGUUUUUUUCCAAUUAAUGUGUAGAUUAUGUGGGUACGUUAUGAAAAACCACUCAUUAAUUAUAAAAAAAACUUACUUAACCCGUGAAUUCAACUGAAUUCAUGUAUUGGACAAGUAUAAGCCGGACAGUUUGGUUGGGGCGACCGCCUUCUAAAAAGUAACGAAGGUGUACAUAAGGUAAAUAAUAUAAUAGAGUAAAAAGCCUGACAGCAAGGGGGACCCCCGAGCUGACACGGAGGUAAUUAUUUAGAUUUGAACAAUGUACGAAUUUAAAUAAGUUCGUAAUAUAAUUACCCGUCUGUGGGUUAUAAUGACCCGUUAGUUAAGAGUGGGUUUGCUAACGAGCAACGAAUAAAAGUUACCAUGGGGAUAACAGCGUAAUAUCGUUCGAGAGUUCAUAUCGACGACGAUGUUUGCGACCUCGAUGUUGAAUUGCGGUAUCCUAGAGGUGCAGCCGCUUCUAAGGGUUGGACUGUUCGUCCAUUAAAACCGUACAUGAUUUGAGUUCAGACCGGCGUGAGCCAGGUCGGUUUCUAUCUACAAUUUGUUUAGGAAACAUUAGAUAUAACUACACUCUAGUACGAAAGGACCGAGUGAUAGGUAUCCGCUGGUGUACCAAUUACCUAAUAAUACGAAUUUAAAUCUAUUCGUACAUGAAAAGGUUGUUGGGUAGCUACGAUACAAUUAAGGCUUAUGAAAAUUAAGUUUAAAGGUAAAGACCUUAAAAUCUAAUCCCUGAAUGCAUCUCAAGGGAGAAGUAAAAUAUCAUUCUAUGUUUCUAUUAAGACUGUUUGAGAAUAAGACAUUGAUAGGAUCUAUGUGUAUCAUGGAAGCUUAAGAUUACUAAGCUUGUUCAAAAUACUAAUUUUUCGA